CGGACGGGUGAGUAACACGUGGGUAACCUGCCUGUAAGACUGGGAUAACUCCGGGAAACCGGGGCUAAUACCGGAUGCUUGUUUGAACCGCAUGGUUCAAACAUAAAAGGUGGCUUCGGCUACCACUUACAGAUGGACCCGCGGCGCAUUAGCUAGUUGGUGAGGUAAUGGCUCACCAAGGCGACGAUGCGUAGCCGACCUGAGAGGGUGAUCGGCCACACUGGGACUGAGACACGGCCCAGACUCCUACGGGAGGCAGCAGUAGGGAAUCUUCCGCAAUGGACGAAAGUCUGACGGAGCAACGCCGCGUGAGUGAUGAAGGUUUUCGGAUCGUAAAGCUCUGUUGUUAGGGAAGAACAAGUACCGUUCGAAUAGGGCGGUACCUUGACGGUACCUAACCAGAAAGCCACGGCUAACUACGUGCCAGCAGCCGCGGUAAUACGUAGGUGGCAAGCGUUGUCCGGAAUUAUUGGGCGUAAAGGGCUCGCAGGCGGUUUCUUAAGUCUGAUGUGAAAGCCCCC
This 521-nucleotide ribosomal RNA is filed under the name Bacillus subtilis. RNAcentral describes it as "bacterial SSU rRNA". It matches the Rfam family "Bacterial small subunit ribosomal RNA", at positions 99 to 605 of the family's 1533-position model. The record is from RNAcentral. Lineage: Bacteria; Bacillati; Bacillota; Bacilli; Caryophanales; Bacillaceae.